Molecule: transfer RNA, 87 nt
Filed under: Rhodospirillales bacterium
Lineage: Bacteria; Pseudomonadati; Pseudomonadota; Alphaproteobacteria; Rhodospirillales
Description: tRNA-Leu
Rfam family: tRNA
About the family: Transfer RNA (tRNA) molecules are approximately 80 nucleotides in length. Their secondary structure includes four short double-helical elements and three loops (D, anti-codon, and T loops). Further hydrogen bonds mediate the characteristic L-shaped molecular structure. tRNAs have two regions of fundamental functional importance: the anti-codon, which is responsible for specific mRNA codon recognition, and the 3' end, to which the tRNAs corresponding amino acid is attached (by aminoacyl-tRNA synthetases). tRNAs cope with the degeneracy of the genetic code in two manners: having more than one tRNA (with a specific anti-codon) for a particular amino acid; and 'wobble' base-pairing, i.e. permitting non-standard base-pairing at the 3rd anti-codon position.
Source: RNAcentral
GCCCGCUUGGCGGAACUGGUAGACGCACGAGACUUAAAAUCUUGUGUCCUUCGGGGCGUGCAGGUUCGAGCCCUGCAGCGGGCACCA